RNAcentral lists this long non-coding RNA (188 nucleotides) under Dermacentor andersoni. Its description in RNAcentral is "uncharacterized LOC126531663". Lineage: Eukaryota; Metazoa; Arthropoda; Arachnida; Ixodida; Ixodidae. The record is from RNAcentral.
UCGUGCGAGCGCAGUUUGACUUGAGCAAUCGUGGGUUUGGACUCCGUGACAUUUGCUUUCGUCAUAUGCGAGUUAGGGGCUUGCCGACAGGUAAACCGCCGCUGUACUUAGAUGCAAAAGCUGCCUCCCUUAUCUGGAACAGAAUAAAUUCCUUUCGAAGGCAAAAUAAAAAACAGAAAGAGAAGUCA